This 274-nucleotide ribosomal RNA is filed under the name uncultured bacterium. Its description in RNAcentral is "partial 16S ribosomal RNA". It matches the Rfam family "Bacterial small subunit ribosomal RNA", at positions 523 to 796 of the family's 1533-position model. The record is from RNAcentral.
AUACGGAUGGUGCAAGCGUUACUCGGAAUCACUGGGCGUAAAGCGCGCGCAGGCGGUCUUUUAAGUUGGAUGUGAAAGCCUACGGCUCAACCGUAGAACUGCAUCCAAAACUAUUAGACUAGAGUGUGGGAGAGGAAGAUGGAAUUAGUUGUGUAGGGGUAAAAUCCGUAGAGAUAACUAGGAAUACCAAAAGCGAAGGCAAUCUUCUGGAACACUACUGACGCUGAGGCGCGAAAGCGUGGGGAGCAAACAGGAUUAGAUACCCGAGUAGUCC